This 274-nucleotide ribosomal RNA is filed under the name uncultured bacterium. Its description in RNAcentral is "partial 16S ribosomal RNA". It matches the Rfam family "Bacterial small subunit ribosomal RNA", at positions 523 to 796 of the family's 1533-position model. The record is from RNAcentral.
AUACGGAGGGGGUUAGCGUUGUUCGGAAUUACUGGGCGUAAGGCGCACGUAGGCGGACUGGAAAGUUGGGGGUGAAAUCCCGGGGCUCAACCCCGGAACUGCCUCCAAAACUUCCAAUCUAGAGAUCGAGAGAGGUGAGUGGAAUUCCAAGUGUAGAGGUGAAAUUCGUAGAUAUUUGGAGGAACACCAGUGGCGAAGGCGGCUCACUGGCUCGAUACUGACGCUGAGGUGCGAAAGCGUGGGGAGCAAACAGGAUUAGAAACCCUAGUAGUCC